RNAcentral lists this long non-coding RNA (879 nucleotides) under Chinchilla lanigera (long-tailed chinchilla). Its description in RNAcentral is "lncRNA (ENSCLAG00000025382.1)". The record is from RNAcentral. Lineage: Eukaryota; Metazoa; Chordata; Mammalia; Rodentia; Chinchillidae.
AGGGAAGCAGGCUUCAGUGUGGGCAGAAUCAGAAGCAUAUUUGAGCAAAAGCAUCUUCUCUCUAUACACACAGGCAGAAGACCCCUGCAGUGGAAAUGGGCGGACCCCUGGGAUGUACCCCCACUUAUUAGCCACAUCCUCCAUGCUGGGUCUGGAGCUCAGGCUAUGGACGCAUGAUGCAUGAGACUUUGAGCCUUGCCCUUAUGCUGUUUUUAAAGCAUCUUUUAAUUAUCUAUGAGCUGAUUACGCUGUCGAUACAAUAAUUAUGUACAUGUGAUACUAUGUGUAGCAUAGUGAGAUAUAUACAUAGUGUAAUAUACAUUAUCUAUAGUAGAAUAUCGGUGCCAUAUAGUCAUCAGUUCCCUCCAUUUCCGUACAUCCUCUGAAGUAGGCGUUUUAUCACCUCUGGUUUAUAGGCAGAGAAAUAGAAGCCUCAGAAAAACUUAAAUUUCUUCACGAUUACUCACCUGGAACUCAACCAGGGAGCCUGACCUAGGUGAUAUUGAAGUUGUAAUUUUGGGUAUUAGAGCUUGGUCUUAGUCACUUCCUCAUCCCUGGAACAAAAUACCCAGCACCCAUGAUUUACAGGAAGAGAGGUUUUAUUUUCCCCGCACAGUUUCAGAAGUUUCAGCUCAUGGCCAGGCAGUGCCAAGGCAAGUGGAAAGGCCUGGGUAGAAGAAGCUGCUCAUGUCCUGGCAGACAAGGCCAUGGAGGAGUGCAGCACCCCGUGAUCUGGUCAUCCUCCAAAAGCCGCACACCGAGCCUGUGAGAGUUGGGGGCAUAUUCCAGAUUCAGACCAUGACAAGACAGGAACGAAAACCAGCUGCUCUGAAUCUAUGCUUGAUGACCACUGUGAGGGGAAAUCAUCCCCAAACGUAA